GGGAAUAUUGCGCAAUGGAGGAAACUCUGACGCAGUGACGCCGCGUAUAGGAAGAAGGUUUUCGGAUUGUAAACUAUUGUCAUUAGGGAAGAUAAAAGACUGUACCUAAGGAGGAAGCCCCGGCUAACUAUGUGCCAGAAGCCGCGGUAAUACAUAGGGGGCAAGCGUUAUCCGGAAUUAUUGGGUGGAAAGGGUGCGUAGACGGAAGAACAAGUUGGUUGUGAAAUCCCUCGGCUCAACUGAGGAACUGCAACCAAAACUAUUCUCCUUGAGUGUCGGAGAGGAAAGUGGAAUUCCUAGUGUAGCGGUGAAAUGCGUAGAUAUUAGGAGGAACACCAGUGGCGAAGGCGACUUUCUGGACGAUAACUGACGUUGAGGCACGAAAGUGUGGGGAGCAAACAGG
Molecule: ribosomal RNA, 403 nt
Filed under: uncultured bacterium
Lineage: Bacteria
Description: bacterial SSU rRNA
Rfam family: Bacterial small subunit ribosomal RNA
Source: RNAcentral